RNAcentral lists this ribosomal RNA (766 nucleotides) under Peribacillus simplex. RNAcentral's name for it is "bacterial SSU rRNA". It matches the Rfam family "Bacterial small subunit ribosomal RNA", at positions 112 to 863 of the family's 1533-position model. Lineage: Bacteria; Bacillati; Bacillota; Bacilli; Caryophanales; Bacillaceae. The record is from RNAcentral.
AACACGUGGGCAACCUGCCUAUAAGACUGGGAUAACUUCGGGAAACCGGAGCUAAUACCGGAUACGUUCUUUUCUCGCAUGAGAAAAGAUGGAAAGACGGUUUACGCUGUCACUUAUAGAUGGGCCCGCGGCGCAUUAGCUAGUUGGUGAGGUAAUGGCUCACCAAGGCGACGAUGCGUAACCGACCUGAGAGGGUGAUCGGCCACACUGGGACUGAGACACGGCCCACACUCCUACGGGAGGCAGCAGUAGGGAAUCUUCCGCAAUGGACGAAAGUCUGACGGAGCAACGCCGCGUGAACGAAGAAGGCCUUCGGGUCGUAAAGUUCUGUUGUUAGGGAAGAACAAGUACCAAAGUAACUGCUGGUACCUUGACGGUACCUAACCAGAAAGCCACGGCUAACUACGUGCCAGCAGCCGCGGUAAUACGUAGGUGGCAAGCGUUGUCCGGAAUUAUUGGGCGUAAAGCGCGCGCAGGUGGUUCCUUAAGUCUGAUGUGAAAGCCCACGGCUCAACCGUGGAGGGUCAUUGGAAACUGGGGAACUUGAGUGCAAAAGAGGAGAGUGGAAUUCCAAGUGUAGCGGUGAAAUGCGUAUAGAUUUGGAGGAACACCAGUGGCGAAAGCGACUUUCUGGUCUGUAACUGACACUGACGCGCGAAAGCGUGGGGAGCAAACAGGAUUACAUACCCUGGUAGUCCACGCCGUAAACGAUGAGUGCUAAGUGUUAGAGGGUUUCCGCCCUUUAGUGCUGCAGCUAACGCAUUAA